UACGUAGGGGACGAGCGUUGUCCGGAAUUACUGGGCGUAAAGGGCGCGCAGGCGGAUAUUUAAGUCAGCUGUAAAAGGCAUGAGCUCAACUCAUGUAUGCGGUUGAAACUGGGUAUCUAGAGUGCUGGAGAGGUAGGCGGAAUUCCCGGGGUAGCGGUGAAAUGCGUAGAUAUCGGGAAGAACACCAGUGGCGAAGGCGGCUUACUGGCCAGCAACUGACGCUGAGGCGCGAAAGCCAGGGGAGCGAACGGGAUUAGAUACCCCGGUAGUCCUGGCCGUAAACGAUGAAUGCUAGGUGUGGGUGUCGAGAGGCAUCCGUGCCGGAGUUAACGCGAUAAGCAUUCCGCCUGGGGAGUACGAUCGCAAGAUUGAAACUCAAAUGAAUUGGCGGGG
Molecule: ribosomal RNA, 393 nt
Filed under: uncultured bacterium
Lineage: Bacteria
Description: partial 16S ribosomal RNA
Rfam family: Bacterial small subunit ribosomal RNA
Source: RNAcentral